CAUUAAAACUUCUAAAACUCCUUUCGGGGUGGAGAGGGACGAGUUUCAGACUAAGGCGACUUUGCCUAUCUCUGCUUUCCCAAACAGCCUGGUCCGCGCCGCACCUUUUCUCACAAAGCCCAACAGCCCAAAGCGCCGCCGAACCCUACAGGGAAAGGUGCCGCCCCGUACCCUACCGCAAGGCGCGGACAGGCCGCCCCAGUCGCAGCCCGGCCCCGGUUCUCAGCCCGCCCACUCCCCGAGGCCCGCAGCUCCUCCCCGCGCGGGCUUCCCCGGUCCGGCGGCGGCGGCUGCCUGCCUCUGCCCGCGCCGAGCUCCGCGUCCCGGUUGCCGCAGCCCCUCCGCUCCGCCUGACAGCGGCCAACAAAAGGGACCGCAACCGCCUUCACCCCCGCUUUUUCCCCUCCUCGCGGCGGGCCCAGGCGGUUCCGCGUAGGCAGCACCGGUAGAAACAGCCGCCGCCCCGCUGCAGCAGCCUGCGGCCCGCAGAGCGGCGACAGGUGUCAGGCUGAAAAAUAAUGCAUUAAAGUGACUGACGUCAUGACAACCAUAAGGCAGAGAAGGAUUGGGAAAGGCACAGAAGCAGCUGAAGAUCAGCCUUCAGAAGAGAAGAAUGUGAAGCCUGAGGGGAAAAUUCUGUCUGAUCAUCUAGGUGGAAAGCUGUGGAACAUACUAUCAAUAACCGUUGGUGGAAUUGCUGCCAUCUCUCUUGGACUUCUCACAUCUGUUUAUGUUGCUACACUGCAUGAGAAUGAUCUGUGGUUUUCCAAUAUUAAGGAAGUUGAGAGAGAAAUUUCAUUCAGAACAGAAUGUGGACUUUAUUAUUCCUACUACAAACAGAUGAUUCAGGCUGCAUCCAUCCAGCAAGGUUUACAUGGUUUAGUAUAUGACAAUAAAACUGAAUCUGUGAGGACAAUUAACAUACUUGAAAGAAUGAAUGUUUACCAGGAGGUGUUUCUCAGCAUUCUGUAUAGGAUUCUUCCAAUUCAGCAAUACCUAGAGCCUGUUUAUUUUUAUAUCUACACUUUGUUUGGACUUCAGGCAGUUUAUGUCAUUGCUCUGUAUGUAACAAGCUGGCUUCUUAGUGGAACAUGGCUUUCAGGGUUGUUGGCAGCUUGCUGGUAUAUUACAAACAGAAUAGAUACUACAAGAGUAGAAUUCACCAUUCCUUUGAGAGAGAACUGGGCACUACCGUUCUUUGCUGUUCAGAUAGCAGCCAUCACAUACCUACUCAGAGCUCAUUUGCAGCCUGUUCAAGAAAAAUUGACACUUGUGGCUGUGUUCAUGGCAACGUUUCUCUUUAGCCUGACUUGGCAAUUUAAUCAGUUCAUGAUGCUGAUACAAGCAUUGGCAUUAUUCAUACUGGACUGUUUUGAUAUGCUUCCCACAGCAAAGGUUACAUGGCUCUAUAUCAUCCAGAUUUCUGGAUUACUGCUAGUCUGUGUCCUACAGUUCUUUAAUUCUAUGAUUCUUGGAUCAUUACUUAUAAGUUUUAAUACUUCUGUCUUGAUAGCAAGAACAAUCCAGAAAAAUCUAAAAAGGGGCAGCUUGUUCAGUAGGCUUGGGAAGCUUAUCCUCCAUGUACUAUUAGUCUUGUGCUUGACUCUUACAAUAAAUAAAUUCAUCAAGAAAAUUCUUAAUCUUGAGUCAGAUGAACAUAUAUUCAAAUUCCUGAAAGCAAAAUUUGGAUUUGGGGCAACAAGAGAUUUUGAUGCCAACCUGUAUCUUUGUGAAGAAGCUUUUGGUUUACUACCAUUAAAUACUUUUUCAAGACUUUCAGAUACAUUACUUUUUUACAUCUACAUAUUUGUUCUCUUCCUUAUGACAGUAGCAGCUGUAAUUGUUGCCUUUCAGAAUCUCAGUGGUUCAAAUGGAGUCAAUUGCUUGGAAAAAAUGGAAGAAUGCACAAUAACACUGAAGCCUGAUGCUGCUUAUAACUUAAUUCACACAGUUCUUUUUGGGUGCCUGGCAUUAAGCACAAUGAGAAUGAAGUACCUCUGGACAUCCCACAUGUGUGUAUUUGCAUCUUUUGGCCUGUGCAGUGCAGAAGUAUGGAGACCUAUCCUGAGGUGUAUUCAUCUCUACACAUCACAAAGGAUGCGUGUCAUUAAAUAUUCUGUACCAAUAAUUACAUUACUGUACAUUUUGUAUAAGUUCUGGCCAGGAAUAAUGGAUGAACUGUCAGAGCUGAGAGAAUUCUAUGACCCAGACACUGUGGAGCUGAUGAACUGGAUUAAGUCAAACACUCCAAACACAGCAGUGUUUGCUGGGAGCAUGCAGCUAUUAGCAGGAGUCAAACUGUGCACUGGACGGACCUUAACUAAUCAUCCCCAUUAUGAGGAUAAGAAUUUGAGAGAGAGAACAAAACAGAUUUAUCAGAUAUAUGCCAAGAGAUCUCCUGAUGAUGUUUACAGGAUACUGCGAUCCUUUGGCACAGACUAUGUGAUCCUAGAAGACAGCAUUUGUUAUGAAAGAAGGCACAGUAGAGGCUGUCGGCUACGUGACUUGCUGGAUAUAGCUAAUGGCCAUAUCAUGGAUGGUUUGGGAGACAAUGAACCUGAUCUGAAACCUUCAUUGUAUCCUCGCUUCUGUGAGGAAAUUAAGAAAAGUCUGCCUUCUUACACCACACACUUCACUAGAGUGUUUCAAAACAAAACAUUCCAUGUUUACAAACUUGCUAAGCAUAAAUAACAUUUUCAGCCAUGGCUUCAAGUUCAGUAUUUCAGUGCUAGGAUUCACAGUAGACAAUGCAGAAGUUUACAAACAUAAGGCAUUUGUAAAAUAUUUAACAUUGACAGUCUCUUGUUUAAUUAUUGUGACUUUUUUUUUUUUUUUGUUUGAUAACAUUCUUGAUGAUGCCAGCAUUUUCAUAGAUUCAUAACCAAAUGCUAGCAGGGACCAUUUCAGUUAGAAAAGCUGACCUUCUGUAUACCUAGGGUAUAAUAAUUUUCCAGUUUAACUGACUGGAAGACAUGCAAAAUGAGCAGCUUGUAUGACCACUGCAGGCCUCUGAAGUUCUGCUCAGCAGUUUGGAUUUUUAGCAUCAAAUGAUAGAAAUUCAAUGAAGGCAGGCCAUGCUGCUCCUGUAGGAGUACUGAUGACCUUUGUGAAUCAUGAAAAUAGUCACAAAAUUUAACUUUUGUCUUACAGUCUGAUCCUCUUUGACUGCUCUUUCAGUGCCUCUUUUUUUAAUUCUUCAGGAGUGUAUGCGGAUGUGAGUUUCCAAGUUUGUGAGUGUGACUGCAGAAUCAGUGAGUGCAGAAUCAGUACACAUUUGAAGAGUAAAACAAUCAUUGUCCAGCAUUUUUAGUGAUACAGAAACAUACUGCUUUGUAACAUUAAGCAUUCAAUGACGGAGUGUAAUGUAUUUCUAACGAGAGUAAGGGUUGGAGCAUGCUUGAUACAUGUUGCAUGUUUGUGUCCUCGUAAAAUUCCCAGAACAAACCAAAUUUCUCACCUUGAAUUCUCAGAAAACUAAUUUCUGUAUUUGCUUUCUGAACUACAGGGGAUGCUUUUCUCCCCAUGUGAAUUCCAGUAGGCUACCAAAAUUGAGCACUGCCAAGCUUACGAAAGAAAAAUUCAUCUCUAAAAUCAGCAAGCAAUCUUGCUGGACCUCUCUGUUACAAAUUAAAGGUGUGUUGGUCAUGAUUUUCCCCAUCACUAGACUGAGGCAUUUUUCCCAUUUAAGUAAGUACCAUUUGCUUUGACCAUUAGGGUUCUGCUCGUUUUUGCAUUGUAGCUCAAGCUUUAGCAUUCUUAAUCAAUGAAGCAAAGCACAUAUUACCAAGUCUUGUAUUUGAACCAGGAUGUCCUGACAUAAGUAAGCUUUUAGAAGUCUUGGUGUUAGUGUGGCAGGGACAAGCAGGAUGUGCACAGCUGUACCUACAACUGCCUGGCAUGUCUUUUUCUCAGUUGUGAUGCCAGAGUGCAGUCACUUUAUGUGUGGUACUGCUCUCAAAGGGAGGUUGGAGGAAGUUUUGUCAAGUGAUGUAAGCUGGUUAAUUAAAUCCCCAGGAACUGGCCAUGGUUUUUAGCAUUUCUUUUACAUAAGAAAAUGCUCGAGUUUCUUCUGUUCACCUAAUCCUGCUCCUUUUGCAGCCAAUGUCUCCCUUCUGAACGUGCUAGUACAAGCCACUAGGUCAAACCUAAGGACAAUCAGCUUUCACAUGGCUUGGCUACAUGUUAUGUGCUUGGAAUGUUGUUUAAAAUAGGGAAAACCACCAAGAUUAAUGUACUUGACAGGCAGACGGAUUAAAUACUAAUAUCCAUAUGAUUACUUAAAUUUCAGACCUUUACAAAUAUUUUAUACUAAAUAAAAUGUUCUUGCUACAUGUUUAAAGAACGUGGAAGAAGAUUACUGAAAGAACCAGAUUACUGAAAAUCCUACUACCUAGGGACCCAGUGAUUUUUCUUAUUAUUACUGUUAUUCCCUCUUUUUUUUUUCCCACCCUCCUCACCCCUUGCAGAACUGUCUGUUGUCAAGCCAGCUGUUCUAGUCUGGAAUGGUGGUACUGCUAUGCUGCAAUAAGCUUUUUUGUAGAGGUACUGAAGUGUUUGUGUGUAGAAGUGCAGAACAAGUGAAGAUAGAAGGUGAGCAAUUGCACAGUAAUUAGAAGAGCAGCAUGUAAAUUAAGUGGAUUAAUUAGUAAUCCUUAGAAGGAUGAAAAGUAGUUUUUAAUAGAGCAUGACAGCUGCAGGUAUGUCCUAUUACUGAGACUGUAUCUACAUGAGGUCCUUUAGCAGUUUUGAAAAUGUUGUCUAAGCUUUUAUGCUGGACAUGCUGUAAGAUGUAUGGCUAACUGCAGUUGCAGGAGCAGCAUCAAGUUGUGGUUGUUACUCUAUGUUUCCUUAAACAUCAGUGCCAUAGCUGUAAUAGGGGAAAAAGCAGUGGUAGAGCAGCAGCUUCAGGAUGGCUUCCAAGUUUCCUAUUUGGGAUUGGUCAUAGGAGACAUCUCAACCUCAGCAACUCUGCAGCUGUGACUGCACAACCCAUCUGCCUCUGUGCUCUCAGUUACCAGGCUACAGAACAAUAGUGAAUUGUCACAAUUUUUUUCCCAGAUGUAAUGUGUUUUAACUGACACAUUUAAAGCAAAGCCCCACAAACACCCCUGCCAACAGCAUUCCGUUGUAAACCUCAAUUUGAUAUACAUGUGGGAAUUGUUAUACUAUGGGUAACACAACUUGGGUGAUUCUAAUGAAUAUAAAACUAAGAAGUUCUUCCUUCUUAGAUUAAUUGUCUGCCUGUUGCAAAAACCACAACCAUGCAAUAGGCAAAAAGCCUGUGGGUGUCUGAAAAACAACCUGGUCUGUGGCCCCAGCCAGCUGCAGCCGUCUGAACCCCAAAAUGGUAACGUCUUGUGAGUGUGUAGAGCUUGAGUCGACACCUUGGUGAGAACCAACUGCUGCUUCUUUUGGCUUUUCAGGCAGAACAGCUUGCAUGACUUGUGGCUGUGGAUGUAGCUGAUCAAAGCUGAGAAAUAAUUCUGCAGGGUCCAACCUUAAGUAUAUGGAAGGAAGAGACCUUAAAUAUGUGUAAGAAAGUUUAUUAUCCGAGUAUGGUGCCUUAGAUACACAUGACACUGUACAAGCAAAUAAAAGUAGUCCUUACCCCAAGGAACUUAACAUACAAGCAAAUUAAAAUAAAACCAGACAAAAUGGGAGCAUAUCCAUAGCUAUGGAAAGAACACAAAUUAUGCAGACAAAAUUACUGCUAUUUGGUCUUUGUAUAAUACAUUUACUUCAUUUUCAAUGUCCUGUUCAUUUCUGCUACGAUCAUGAAGCACAGAAGCUAACAUACCUGACUUGUAAACACUGCAAGGCAGUGUAGUCUGAGUUUCCUCACAGCUAAUCAAAUUACAAAAUCAAAGACUUUAUAUGACCUGUGACUCAAAACCAAGGCAUGGGGGAAAACAGCAUUUAGCUCUUCCAGAUGAAAAUGCUACAUCUGCAGCAUGUAGCCACUGGCUGUUGGCAUGCUUCCAGUUUUCCCAAGUGUGUCCCAAAAGCACAGAAGAACAAGAUACUGCAAGGAUGUUUCAUUUGGAAAAGGUACAAAUUCAUCUUGCCAGCAGACUACAUUGACCUAUUUAUGUGUUUUUUUAAUAUAUGUGUGUGUGUGUAUAUAUAUAUGUAUGUAUAUAUUUAAGUUACAGGCAGACUUGCCAAAACAAGCUACUGAUGUAACUGUAAGGAAAACAGUUUUAAUGUCUCUUCUAACAGACUGGUUUGUUUUCUUUUAAUGAGUUAUCUUAGAUCUAUAUUUUAUUCCUAUUUUCAGCUGAUGAGA
Molecule: RNA transcript, 6286 nt
Organism: Pogoniulus pusillus (Red-fronted tinkerbird)
Lineage: Eukaryota; Metazoa; Chordata; Aves; Piciformes; Lybiidae
Gene: DPY19L3
Gene name: dpy-19 like C-mannosyltransferase 3
Exons: 20
Source: RefSeq, a predicted model, not a curated record